GCUGGUCCCAGAAGGCGCCGGGUUUCCCAAGAUGGCGGCCGACGUGUCCGUUACUCACCGGCCGCCGCUGAGCCCAGAGGCGGAGGCCGAAGCGGAAACUCCCGAGACCGUCGAUCGCCGGGCGCCCGAACAAGAGUUGCCGCCGCUCGAUCCGGAAGAGAUCCGGAAACGCCUGGAACACACUGAGCGCCAGUUCCGUAACCGCCGCAAGAUACUGAUCCGAGGCCUCCCGGGGGACGUGACCAACCAGGAAGUACAUGACCUCCUGAGCGACUACGAACUCAAGUACUGUUUCGUGGACAAAUACAAAGGGACAGCUUUUGUGACUCUGCUGAAUGGGGAGCAGGCUGAAGCUGCCAUCAACACCUUCCACCAGAGCCGCCUUCGAGAGCGGGAGCUGUCAGUUCAGUUGCAGCCUACCGAUGCUCUGCUGUGCGUGGCCAACCUACCACCUAGUCUGACACAGGCACAAUUUGAAGAGCUGGUGCGGCCCUUUGGCAGCCUGGAGCGCUGCUUCCUAGUGUACAGUGAGCGCACUGGCCACUCUAAAGGAUAUGGCUUUGCAGAGUACAUGAAGAAAGACUCAGCAGCCAGGGCCAAGUCUGACUUGCUGGGCAAGCCACUGGGCCCACGCACACUGUAUGUGCACUGGACAGAUGCUGGGCAGCUGACCCCUGCAUUGUUGCACUCUCGAUGCCUCUGUGUGGACCACCUGCCACCUGGCUUCAGUGAUGUGGAUGCCCUGCGCCGGGCUCUGUCAGUGGUCUAUACCCCCACCUUCUGUCAGCUGGCAUGUGGCCAGGAUGGGCAGCUAAAGGGCUUCGCGGUGCUGGAGUACGAGACAGCAGAGAUGGCAGAGGCAGCACAAGAACGGGCAGAUGGCCAGGCCCUGGGUGACAGCCACCUACGUGUGUCUUUCUGUGCCCCAGGUCCCCCUGGCCGCAGCAUGCUAGCAGCACUCAUUGCUGCCCAGGCCACGGCUCUUAAUCGAGGCAAGGGACUCCUGCCUGAGCCAAAUCUUCUGCAGCUGUUGAACAACCUGGGCCCAUCUGCAUCCCUCCAGCUGCUCCUCAACCCUCUGCUUCAUGGGGGAGCCAGUGGCAAGCAGGGUCUCCUGGGUGCGCCCCCUGCUAUGCCACUGCUCAGCGGGCCUGCCCUGUCCACUGCACUGCUGCAGCUAGCCCUGCAGAGCCAGAGCCAGAACCAGAGCCAGGGUCAGAAGAAGCCUGGGAUCCUGGGCGACUCACCUCUGGGUACCCUCCAGGCCGGGGCCCAACCUUCCAACUCCCUCCUUGGGGAGCUGUCUGCAGGGGGGGGCCUAGCCCCGGAACUGCCGCCCCGCCGAGGGAAGCCACAACCCUUACUACCACCAUUGCUGGGUCCCUCUGGGGGUGACCGGGAGCCCAUGGGUCUGGGUCCCCCAGCAACCCAGCUCACUCCACCCCCAGCCCCUGUGGGGCUCCGAGGCUCCAACCAUAGAGGCCUCCCAAAGGACAGUGGGCCCCUGCCAACGCCCCCUGGGGUCUCACUGCUGGGGGAGCCCCCAAAGGACUACCGCAUCCCCCUCAACCCCUACCUGAAUCUACACAGCCUGCUUCCAUCCAGUAACCUGGCAGGCAAGGAGACCCGGGGCUGGGGAGGCUCUGGGAGAGGCCGCCGCCCAGCUGAGCCCCCCUUGCCUAGCCCUGCAGUUCCUGGUGGAGGCAGUGGUAGCAACAAUGGCAACAAAGCCUUCCAAAUGAAGUCCCGCCUGCUCAGCCCCAUCGCCAGCAACCGCCUGCCCCCUGAGCCAGGGCUGCCUGACAGCUAUGGCUUUGAUUAUCCCACAGAUGUGGGACCUAGACGACUCUUCUCCCACCCUCGGGAACCAACCUUAGGGGCUCAUGGCCCCAGCCGACACAAGAUGUCCCCCCCACCUAGCAGCUUCAAUGAGCCCCGAAGUGGUGGAGGCAGUGGGGGACCCCUCUCUCAUUUUUACUCUGGCUCACCCACCUCCUACUUCACCAGUGGCCUACAGGCUGGCCUCAAGCAGAGCCACCUGAACAAGGCUGUUGGUUCCUCUCCAAUGGGCUCCAGUGAAGGGCUCCUGGGCCUGGGCCCUGGGCCCAAUGGUCACAGUCACCUGCUGAAGACCCCACUGGGUGGCCAGAAACGCAGUUUUUCCCACCUGCUGCCCUCACCUGAGCCCAGCCCAGAGGGCAGCUACGUGGGCCAGCACUCCCAGGGCCUCGGCGGCCACUACGCGGACUCCUACCUGAAGCGGAAGAGGAUUUUCUAAGGGGUCGACACCAGAGAUGCUCCAAGGGCCUGCACCAAGUUGCUUUUGGGUUUUUUCUGGCGAGCGGCGUGCUGGCGAGGAGGCGGCGGACAGCCCGGAGCUGCCCCGGGACGUGGUCAACGUGGUGUUCGUGGACCGCUCUGGCAAGCGGAUCCCGGUGAGGGGCAAAGUCGGGGACAAUGUUCUAUACCUGGCCCAGCGCCACGGGGUGGACCUGGAAGGGGCCUGCGAAGCAUCCCUGGCCUGUUCCACCUGUCAUGUGUAUGUGAGUGAGGCCCACCUGGAUCUCCUGCCUCCUCCUGAGGAGAGGGAGGACGACAUGUUGGACAUGGCUCCACUGCUCCAAGAGAACUCAAGACUGGGCUGCCAGAUUGUGCUGACCCCUGAGCUAGAGGGAGUUGAAUUUGCUCUUCCCAAGAUCACCAGGAACUUCUAUGUGGACGGCCACAUCCCCAAGCCCCACUGACAUGAGGCCACUGGACAGACCAGGCCAUGGAACUGAAAAGAAAAGCCACGCUUCCUACUCCAGAGGACGGACUGCCCAGGAAAGAGAAGUUGGACCCACAGUGUGAGACCAGAGCUGCCACUGGGGACAGCCAGUGUCUGAGCCCUGAGGGGGAUGGGUCUCCAUCUUGGGUGUGUCAGUCCACCAGGGAGAAUCGAACUAUAAAUUAAGGAUGGACUCUAACCAGAGCUGCAAUAAAAAGUCACACACAUCUCC
RNAcentral lists this long non-coding RNA (2999 nucleotides) under Mus musculus (house mouse). RNAcentral's name for it is "predicted gene, 38431 (Gm38431)". The record is from RNAcentral. Lineage: Eukaryota; Metazoa; Chordata; Mammalia; Rodentia; Muridae.